UUCUUUCUCUAUAUAGGUUUUGCGAGAAGGGUAUUGAUAAGCCCCGAAGAUCUGCAAGAGUGCCACGAAGAACCCAAGAUUUUGUGGAUUAAAAGAUCCCCAACUGCAGGUUGAAGAAGGAGUCAAAACAGAAGGAAGAAGAAGCGGUCUAUCAAUCAGGAGGGGAAUCUGCUACCAGUAGGAUUUCUUAGUUGUUUGUAGUAGUUACUGGAUUUUUACUUUUCCUUGAUUUUCUGAUAUUCAAUUUAAUCAUGUCUUCAUAGAGUUAGGAU
Molecule: long non-coding RNA, 272 nt
Filed under: Carica papaya (papaya)
Lineage: Eukaryota; Viridiplantae; Streptophyta; Magnoliopsida; Brassicales; Caricaceae
Description: long non-coding RNA (CPAP_LNC014081)
Source: RNAcentral